GUGCCAGAUACUCACUAGUUGUAGGGCAAGGUGUAAACUAGUUGUAGGGCAAGGCACUAGUCGUGCAAGAUGCACACCAGUUGUAGUGCAAGAUGUAAACUAGUUGUAGUACAAGACACUAGUUGUAAUGCAAGAUGCUCAAUAGUUGUAGUGCAAGAUGUAAACUAGUUGUAGUGCAAGGCACUCACUAGUUGUAGUGCAAGGUGUAAACUAGUUGUAGUGCAAGACGCUCACUCGUUGUAGUGCAAGACGCUAGUUGUAGUGCAAGAUACUCACUAGUUGUAGUGCAAGGUGUAAACUAGUUGUAGUGCAAGGUGUAAACGAGUUGUAGUGCAAGGUGUAAACCCAUUGUAGCGCAAGGUGUAAACCCGUUGUAGAGCAAGGUGUAAACCCGUUGUAGCGCAAGGUGUAAACCCGUUGUAGAGCAAGGUGUAAACCCGUUGUAGAGCAAGAUGUAAGCCUGUUGUAGCACAAGGUGUAAACCCAUUGUAGCACAAGGUGUAAACCCGUUGUAGAGCAAGGUGUAAACCCAUUGUAGCACAAGGUGUAAACCCGUUGUAGCGCAAGAUGUAAACCCGUUGUAGCACAAGGUGUAAACCCAUUGUAGCACAAGGUGUAAACCUGUUGUAGCACAAGGUGUAAACCCAUUGUAGAGCAAGGUGUAAACCCAUUGUAGAGCAAGAUGUAAGCCUGUUGUAGCACAAGGUGUAAACCCAUUGUAGCACAAGGUGUAAACCCGUUGUAGAGCAAGGUGUAAACCCAUUGUAGCACAAGGUGUAAACCCAUUGUAGCGCAAGGUGUAAACCCGUUGUAGCACAAAGUUUAAACCUGUUGUAGCACAAGGUGUAAACCCAUUGUAGCACAAGGUGUAAACCCGUUGUAGAGCAAGGUGUAAACCCGUUGUAGAGCAAGGUGUAAACCCGUUGUAGCGCAAGGUGUAAACCCGUUGUAGCACAAGGUGUAAACCCGUUGUAGCACAAAGUUUAAACCUGUUGUAGCACAAGGUGUAAACCCAUUGUAGCACAAGGUGUAAACCCGUUGUAGCACAAGGCACCCUCUCCUUGCAGCCCCGCCUCCGCCUCCUGGCCCUGUGCCCGUCACCGCGUCACCCUCCGGCGGUGCCACCCGGCGCCGGGGGCGGU
Long non-coding RNA from Oxyura jamaicensis (ruddy duck), 1142 nucleotides. RefSeq lists it as uncharacterized. The record is from RefSeq and is a predicted model, not a curated record. The transcript is spliced from 3 exons. Lineage: Eukaryota; Metazoa; Chordata; Aves; Anseriformes; Anatidae.